Molecule: non-coding RNA, 26 nt
Filed under: Homo sapiens (human)
Lineage: Eukaryota; Metazoa; Chordata; Mammalia; Primates; Hominidae
Source: RNAcentral
GCUUGGAAGAUGGGUGCAGGUUCUAU